RNAcentral lists this ribosomal RNA (253 nucleotides) under uncultured bacterium. Its description in RNAcentral is "partial 16S ribosomal RNA". It matches the Rfam family "Bacterial small subunit ribosomal RNA", at positions 524 to 776 of the family's 1533-position model. The record is from RNAcentral.
UACGUAGGGUGCGAGCGUUGUCCGGAAUUACUGGGCGUAAAGAGCUCGUAGGUGGUUUGUCGCGUUGUUCGUGAAAACUCACAGCUUAACUGGGGGCGUGCGGGCGAUACGGGCAGACUGGAGUACUGCAGGGGAGACUGGAAUUCCUGGUGUAGCGGUGGAAUGCGCAGAUAUCAGGAGGAACACCGGUGGCGAAGGCGGGUCUCUGGGCAGUAACUGACGCUGAGGAGCGAAAGCGUGGGGAGCGAACAGG